CCUAAUAAGCUAAGUUAAGCGGGGAGUACAAGGGCCACCGCGCCAAUAUAAAAACUACUCCUAUUCAUUAGUUGAAAAAAAAAGACUCAUAUUAAAUUAAUCCCCCACCAACCCCCUUCCCCCCUCUCUCUCGUAUUUUCCCCAAAACAAAACCCUAUCCUCUCUAUGUAGUUUUUAAUCUGAAAGCAUGUGAAAUCCUUAAAAAUCAACUAUCUCAAAUUUAUCUCUCAAAGGUUGAAGACUCACGUGAAGUCUAUUUGAACUGGGUGAAGACUCACAAACCGACAAUGAAAAUAGUUAUCAAUCUGAACAGGUUUGUCACUUUUCUUCUGUUUUUGGUCGAAGACUAGAAAUUUCUUUUUAGUGAAUAUUAAUUGUAGAGAAUGAUAAUAUUUUGUAUGGAUUUUGUAGACAGUUAAUUGUUGCGGUGUAGGGCUUAAAGUGGGAGUAAUGAGAUGUGAGGUUCGUCGCUAGGGCUAGGUUUAAAGUUGGGGUGUAGAGAAAGGAUGAUGAGGGAAUGAAAAAAUCUUCCUUAGUUGUUUUGUUCGUGAGAAGAAAUGUAGGUAAUAGAAGUCUUUCUAUGUUGAGAUGUCCCUUUCAAUGCAGCAGUAAACACUUGUAUUUUUGGGAUUGUGAGCGUGCAUCCUCAAAAAAUAAGAAAAAAUACUGAAAGUUGAUUAAAUUAAAUGUUAUAUAGUCAAAAAAAGUUUAUCUUUUUAUUAUUCCAGAAUUAAAAAGAACAAAAAAAAAUAUCUUUAACCCAAAUAUGAUGUGUUGUAUUAGGAAAGGAAAGAAAUCUGUAGAUAUGUAAUGUUGUGGUGUCACUUGCUGAAGUUGUUUCACUCUGUUCCUAGAUUUUUUCCAACUAAGAUAGGUGGGAUUAUAAUUCAUUUGGUGUCAAAAUUUGACUAGGUUGUUUGGAUUGGCUCCACUUAUAAGAAAAAUCAUUUGCUUGAAUGCAUAGAACCUAAUUAAAUAGUACCAAAAUCCAUCUCUUAUGAAUAGAAUGCCUUUGAUGAAGCCUCAUCUAUUUAAACUGUUCUCUCUAAUGUGGAAUUUGUUACAAAGAAAGCUGCCUACAUAUUAUAAGAUCAAAUCCUUUGGAUUUUGUUUUGCCUUCUAAUGAUGUUGUGUUAGACUUGUGAGGAAACAAUGGAUCAUAUAUUUUGUGGUCGUGCUAUUAGUGCUUCAGUAUUGCUGAAUUUUUCACAGUAGCUAGGUCUUAAAUAUGUACAAUAGGGUAUUAGAAUUAUAAAACAAUCUAAUUAAUAACUCAGUUAAUAAUAAAACUGGCUGAUUGUAUUAAAAUUACUCAACUGAAUUACAAUAGACUAAUAAGGGAAAUUGCAAUUGAACAAUAAUGAAAACCAACUGAUAGAGAGAAGAUAGAAGGAGAUGAAACGGAGUGAGAUGAGAGAAUAGAAAAUUCAACAUAGCAAUAACUUACUCUACUACAUUUUCUAUUAGCUAUUUAUAGUAUGUUGCAAUCUUCACACACUGCGUAUUUAUAAUAUGUUUUUUUCUUAACCGUGAUUUGAAGUAUUCGGAAAUUCUCUUCAUAUGUUGAUUAUACAAAGAGGUCAACAUCAUAUUACACAUGAGGUCAUUCUUUUAGCUCACAAACAUCAUAAUUUCUUCAAUCUCAAUAUCUCUCUGCUUGUUUUAAUUGAAUUAGAAGACAAUGUUAAACCCAAAUUUAAUUCGAUAAAAGUUUUUAGGCAAUACCUUCAUGGUUGAUUGAUUUAUGAAAUUUAACUCUGAUGCUUCAUAUAUCUUAAUAUUUAUGUAUGUUCUUAUUGUUUUGAGAGUAUGUUGGUUGUUUUGAGCAUUAUGAACUGCCCGUGUCACUUCAUUUAAGCUUGUCACAGUAAAAAAUACAGCAAGAAAAAAAUGUUACCAAAAUUUUAAAAUUCCAAAGGCAAUUGCAUCUUAGUUCAACUUCUGGAUGUAAAUAAUAGGAAGGAAAGGGGUUGGGUGGUGUAGUUAAAAAUAUUUCAAGAAGGACAAUUGUAUCUUACUUUAACUAAAAGUUGUUAUUAUCUUCAGAUAUUUGUUCACCUUGGCCAUUGAAAUGGAUCUCUGUCUUUACAUUAGAGGAAUAGAAUUAUUCUCAUCAUUUGUUGUAGUUCUGUUAUGAGUAUAAUUUAUUUAUUGGUUCAUUCGAUUCUCAUGAUUCGUCCUUGUCAAAAAUAAUAGCCCUGGUAUAAUUAUCUCACAUAGUUAUCCUAGCCCAUUUGUCUAAUUUGAUAAGGUAUCUAUUAUGAUCCUGAGAUGGGUCGUAAAUGAAACUUUCAUGACGUUUUUUUUUUGUCAAGCUUCAGAGGGAAUAUCUAUAUGUAUGGCAUGUAAAUAAAAGUUCUUACUAUAAUUCUCACCAUCUACUUUGAUCUUUUCACAUAAAUACUUCUUAAAGAACAUCUUCCAUUGGUGUUCUUAGGUUAUGACUGAUGUUAGCUAUAAAUAAUAAUUACUUUAUUUGAACAAAGACAUAUAUGAAGAAUGGUUAGUGGGUUCAGCUUUAUCCUCCAGAUUGUAUAAUGCCUUUUCUCUUGGGCUCUUAGUUAUGUAAUUUGCUCAAUAUCUAGCUCUCAAAAUUAUUGAUUAUAAGGUUAACAAUAGUUUUACUCUUUCCUAUAAACAGCAAAUGAAGAAAUCUUUCCUUGAAUUGUUUGAGUGUGUUUAGUUACUAUCAGUGGCCAUGAGGUUGUGCUUUAGUAAACUUUUGUAUACAGUAUGUGCUGGCUUAUAACUUAUGUGUUGAGCACAAACUGAUUUUCAAGAUCUAAACUAUAUUUAGUUACUUCCAGAUUGUCUCGCGGGAGGAAAUAUGGUUCACUGCAUAUUGGUUAUAGGUGUGUACAUUAUUGAAACUUGUAAAAGUAUUGUUACUCGGAUAAUGUGUUUCGUAAAUAUGGAUAAGUUAUUUUACAUUAAUCUGUAUUUGAAAAGUGCAAUUGGACUAUAUAUGAAAAUGACAUGCUUUGAAGGAGAGGAAAGUAUGCAAUAUUCAGGUGUUCCUCUCAUUGUUGUUAUCUUUCAGAUACUUAAUAUGAUCUUCAUAAUUUUCUAGAAGGAAAUUUUCCUUUUUUUUUUUACAAGGUUUGAAGAGUUGAUCUUACAAGUCAAGAUGCAAGUUUUGAAGACUUCGUGCAGUAUUCUUUAUCACUUGCCAGGGUAGUUAGGAAAAAAGUUAUUUUUGCUAAAAGAUUGUGUAAAGAGCACCAUGACAUAUGCAACAUAGUUAUACAAUUACCAGUGGGAUGUAAUACCCUUUUUUGUACAUGUACAUUUGUAUAUGAAAGCAUGAUGUUAUUGAUAUUUUUGUUAUGUGCAUGUGAUUUUCUACAAUAAAAAUAAUAUAUAUAUUUUUAAAAAAU
RNAcentral lists this long non-coding RNA (3377 nucleotides) under Nicotiana tabacum (common tobacco). RNAcentral's name for it is "long non-coding RNA (NTAB_LNC005880)". Lineage: Eukaryota; Viridiplantae; Streptophyta; Magnoliopsida; Solanales; Solanaceae. The record is from RNAcentral.